This 288-nucleotide long non-coding RNA is filed under the name Elaeis guineensis (African oil palm). RNAcentral's name for it is "long non-coding RNA (EGUI_LNC044861)". Lineage: Eukaryota; Viridiplantae; Streptophyta; Magnoliopsida; Arecales; Arecaceae. The record is from RNAcentral.
CUCUUUCAUUUGUUGACACUGCUCUUUCUAAGUUAAUUAUGGAAGAAACUCGGAAGAAGAUCAUCUCCUCUAGUCCUGAUGGUUCUCUCAUUUUGGCUGCACGAGCCAAAUCGAAGGGUCUAUCUCAAAUCUAGUGCCAUUCAUGCAAGAAGCUUAGCCAUAUUGCCUGUAAUUGUCCUAAUCGAGAAUCUGAUUCUCGACCUUUACCUCGUUCUCGAUUUCAAGACGUAUUUUCUACACAGCGUACCUACUGUAAGAAGGUUGGACAUGUUGUUUGGAAUUGUCCCC